AACGCACAUUGCGCCCGUCAGUAUUCUGGCGGGCAUGCCUGUUCGAGCGUCAUUACGCCCCUCAAGUCCCCCGUGGACUUGGUGUUGGGGAUCGGCGAGGCUGGUUUUCCAGCACAGCCGUCCCUCAAAUUAAUUGGCGGUCUCGCCGUGGCCCUCCUCUGCGCAGUAGUAAAACACUCGCAACAGGAGCCCGGCGCGGUCCACUGCCGUAAAACCCCCCAACUUUUUAUAGUUGACCUCGAAUCAGGUAGGACUACCCGCUGAACUUAA
This 270-nucleotide unclassified non-coding RNA is filed under the name uncultured fungus. Its description in RNAcentral is "sequence contains ITS2". Lineage: Eukaryota; Fungi. The record is from RNAcentral.